GAGCGCUGCCCCGGCUCAGAGUCGCUUUAGAACUCGGAAGUUUGACCCCCGCAGUUUCUCUUGAGUGGGUUUCUUUUUGAAAACAGCUUGUGCUCACAUGCAAACACACAUUGCCUGAGCCAACCACGCAGAACCCACGCUCAGUGCCUGCACGCUGUGGAGACGUCCACAGGACCACGGCCUGGGGAAUGCGCCAGCCCUCUGGAACAGCCUCACCGGAGUUCCAGGGGAGGUGCUGUGGUCCUCAGCACACCUGCACAGCUCAACAGCCCAUACAGCUCCACACACAGCUCAACACACACAGCUCAGCACACACAGCUCAACACACACAGCUCCACACACAGAGCUCAGCACACCUGCACAGCCCAACGCACACACAGCUUAGAACACACAGAGCUCAGCACACCUGCACAGCCCCACACACACAGCUCAACACACAGCUCAACACACCUGCACAGCCCAACACACACAGAGCUCAGCACACCUGCACAGCCCAACACACACAGCUCAACACACACAGCCCAACACACACAGCUCAACACACACAGCUCCAUACACAGAGCUCAGCACACCUGCACAGCCCAACACACACAGCUCAACACACACAGCUCAGCACACACAGCUCAGCACACACAGCUCCACACACAGAGCUCAGCACACCUGCACAGCCCAACACACACAGCCCAACACACACAGCUCAACACACACAGCUCAACACACACAGCUCAGCACACCUGCACAGCUCAGUACACCUGCACAGCUCCACACACAGAGCUCAACACACCUGCACAGCCCAACACACACAGCUCAGCACACCUGCACAGCUCAGUGCCACACACACAACUCAACGUACCUGCACAGCUCAACACACAGCUCAGCUCCACACACACAGCUCAGCACACCUGCACAACUCCACACACACAGCUCAACACACCUGCACAGCCCAACACACACAGCUCAGCACACCUGCACAGCUCAGUGCCACACACACAACUCAACGCACCUGCACAGCUCAACACCUUAUACCUCAACACACCUACAGAACUCAACACAGCUGUACACUAACACACCCACACAGCUGAACACACACAUUCUCUGACUCUCCAGGCUCUCCCUGGUCAGGAGAGCUGGGGGCCCAGCUCUCUGGUUAGGUUUUAGCUCAGAGUUUCUCUGAGUUUCUGAAAUUCGAAAUUAUCAAUGUGCCAGCCUGCAGGUGUCCUGUGACGUGCUCUGG
Molecule: long non-coding RNA, 1234 nt
Filed under: Oryctolagus cuniculus (rabbit)
Lineage: Eukaryota; Metazoa; Chordata; Mammalia; Lagomorpha; Leporidae
Description: lncRNA (ENSOCUG00000033185.1)
Source: RNAcentral